Gasterosteus aculeatus aculeatus (three-spined stickleback) is the source of this 10801-nucleotide long non-coding RNA. The record is from Ensembl. NCBI's taxonomy places the organism in Eukaryota, Metazoa, Chordata, Actinopteri, Perciformes, Gasterosteidae.
ACGCGCCUUAAAUCAAAAAUGCGUAAUAGUCCAAUUCAUCUUAGGUGACUGAGAGAGAUGUGAGCCAAAAGGUGCGCACAUAAAGAUGGCAUUACAUUCGUUAUGUAAUAUCAAAUGACCGAGCGGAAUCUCUAAAGCAAUUGGUAGACACGGAGUCCUAAAACGGACAGGACACUCGAGCAGAAACAGUCGGUUUUUGUGACAUAUUUUCAGCGCAGAAGCCCGACAGAAAACCCUCAGCCACACCUUAAGUCUCAAUCGUUUUGUUUUUCUUCUGCUAAGAGUUCCAGUGGUUUCGACGAGAUGCGCGAAGCCCCGCAAGUUCACUCCGGCGAUAACGUUCAAAACCCCCUAAAAAAAAGAAAUGUAAAACGGUCCAAUCUGAGUUUCCGGUUGGCCGGACCCACCCUGUGCUGCUCGACGCUCCGCGGGGCUCCCUCCCCGGUCUCUCUCUCCGGUCCAACUCCUGCCUUCAAACCGGCUUCUCACUCCGAUCAGCUGGCUGGGUCGUGACGUCACUAGCCACCAUCGGCCAAUCAGUUGCGAACCGGAAACACACAGUGGUGACGCCCAGUGCCCACGCACGAUGACGACCCGGGUGCGUUGACCAAUGAGAGCGCGAUCGUAUCCAAAGAAUGAGGCGGGCGCUAGAAAUAAUGACCAAUGAGAUUGCAUCUGCCCAUGAGAGGCGUUUAUGGUCUGACCUAUUAGAUGUCGGGAUGUGUGGGGAACUUUUCUACACAAGCAGGUUACAGAUUUAAUUGAAUACACUGUAUGACUGUUAAAUAAUUAUAAAUAACUGCAAUAACGCAGUGUGCUAACUACAGAAAUGUAAUGACUUCACCUGUAAAAAAUAUUUGUAGCUUGCGUGUCCCACCAACUGUUUAUUUCACAUACUUUCCAUUCUGUUUGCCCAAUGUCAGAUUAUUAUCUGAUUACUACAACUUCCAGGUUAUAAAGUUCACGUUACAAAUUAACUUUGCACUUGUGCUACUUAAUGCAAUUGGACGCAAAUGUAAAUGCUUACCAUUAUGCAAUUACGGUGUUAGUAAACAGUAUGGUGCUGUUCCCCAAAAAUCCAUGUGGAACCCAAACUCUUAAGCAUGUUUAACUGUUUUACAGUGCACUUUGCAUCCUCUUUUAAGCAAACAAAGCUUUCUCGUGCUUGGCUUAAAUUGGGUUCUACGGACAAAAAAGUAAUUGCUUUUGUUCUGGAUAGAAACCUCAAUUGAAGGCUUGCGUGUUGAAGUCCACAUUUGGUGUAUUUCAUUUUCCCUAUUGAAUUGAUGAAAAUAAUUAACGAUUUACUUGCCAGCAGUGGAAGCAGCUCUCUUGAGGAUUCAGGGUAAAAUGAAAAUGCACAUGACUUUAUUUGAUAAAUCAGUUGAGAGGAUUAGCCACGCCACUGUCUGGAUGAAGUACAGCAACAGAGUAUGACAAGCACAGAGUAGGGGGUCUUUUGAUACUGAAAAGCAGCGCCUGGUUCUGCAUAAUUGAAGACACCUGAAGUCUUCUCAGGCCACUGUAAUGCAUGCAUGAAAAGAACCAGAUCUUGCAUGAAGUUACUCAUUACUUUUUAAUGUGGUGGACGUGCAUGUCAGCCACGCACAUUGCCGCAAAAUAGCAUGAAUUUUAAGCUUGAGGGUCAAUAGAUGGAUCUACGUUCCUGUUCCCACGCAGCGUAAACACACAAGCGUUGUGUGAAUGUUUACUCGUAUCAGCCUGCGUGUGUUCAGUGUACAUGUAUGUGUUCAUGUCCGAAGAGAAUCAAAACAUUGCAGUUCAUACAGCGCUUUAUCAGACACUGUUUUGGCUGAGGCACGGAGCGGUUACGCAGAUCAUAGGCAACAACCUGUCAACCCAUUUGUUGUAACACUUCAAACAGGCAGUAACACAAUGCUCCCUCAGCACGGUGACACAGCCUUUAUUCCGUGUCUCAAUUUAUGGUGAUGCAUUCACAAUGCUAGGCAAGAAUCCACCACAGGCACACACCGCCCAAGAAAGCAGUCCUCCCUCCCCUCAGUAUUUAUUGCAUGGGUCUGAUCCAUACCUUGAGACGGCUGCAAUUAACUUAUGCGAAGGCUCCUUUAAAUAGAUCCAGGUUGAAGGAUAUAAGAACAUCAAUAAACCUCAGUGAUAACUGCAAUAAUUAUAUUUCCUGCAAUAUAUACAAACAAUAUAUUGGAUGAUACAACAAACCACAAAAUGUCCCUGUCCCCAGAUGAGGAGUCAUUUGAGCAGACAUGGAGCGAGGAUGAAUUGAACCGAACGGGUAAUGACGUUGGAUGCUUGAAAUUGAAGGUGGGACAACAGAAGUGGAACACAAGCGUCAUACUGACUCAAAAUUACAUGAAGCUGUUAAACUUCAUUGAUGUUCUCAGUCAGUGUUAGUCAAAAGUAUAUGUUUUGACUAUAUAUUUAAAUUUAGGACGAAGUAUCCACUUGAAUCCCCCAAACGAUGGUGUUUCGGCAGCACGUUGAAAUGGUUUGCUCAAAUACAAUCGGCCAUAAAUAUCCAUUUCAGCAUCUAAAACCUUGUUGUUCCUCAGAUAAGACAUUUUUUUUACUUUGGUGAUUCACGUUUUACAGAACGCCCAACAGAUAAUUAUUUGAUUUAGAAACUAGAAUGACGUGAAAACACAUUUACUUUAACUGAACAGAUCUUUAAAUUGAACUACAGCACAAACACCACAUUUAGUUUAGUAAUCCGAAUUUGCAAUCAGCAGCCUCUUAGUUGUACCAUAUCUGUUUAAUUUAAUUUAAUUUAAAGAACAUUAAUGGCCCUAAACAUUCACUAACUUGUGUGCAUCAUCUCUACAUCAGUAAUCGAAUACAGAGUUCAGAGAGUGUGUUAAUAUAUGAAUAAGUAAAAUCUCAUCAAUACUGUGGUGAGACGAUAACCAGUUUGAUUUUCUCCAGAGCUUCUGAUGCAUGUAAGCUAAAGCAAAUGACUAUUUAGUAAGUAUUUGAGGCAGUGUACCUCCACUGCUAUCUUACAAAACCAGAGUGAAUGAGCAGUAUUGUAUUGCAGCAAUGGAGAGGGCGGCAUUCUUCCUUUUAGAGGAGACAUAUCAAGCGUCACAGAGUAGCAAGCCGUGGAGCUUUUCUUUAGGUAUGACGCAUUUAAGUCUACCAUCGGAAACACGAUGCUGCACCUUCUUUUGUCUCUCGUAACCACUCAGCACAGACUCAAGUAGAAUGUUCUGAUUUAAGAGUACAACCUGUUAGUUGGAACCACAUAUUUUAUAUCUUUAUACAUCUCUUGCAUAAAAUGCACGCUCUGCUUUUCUUCUUUCCUCCUAUUUCCACCUUGCUUCAAUUGAACAGUAGGACGUCAUAAAACCUGUGGCAGGCAAGAAGCAAUCUGGAAACUGCUCAGGCCAGGUAAUGGCUCUCCACAGUCAAACAUUUGCAGUCACACGCUUACAACAGGCGGGGGGGAGACUUUAUGCUCCGAGUGAGCGAGAGAAACUUACGCUGAUGAAAUGUCUGAAGCCAUAAGUUAGAGGGUUCAACACUGACAGACUGCAGAGGAUGUUACCGAAACUCUCCUGACCAUUCAAGAUCAUGUAUUAUGAUCCAUGGAAGUGAUAAAUACAUUUUAAUAAAGAAGUUAGCAUGACCUUUUUUCUAAAUGAAGUAAAUUGAGACGCUACAGGCAAUUAUAACACAGUUUGGCUUAUUUAUUCAAUUAUUAGGUUAGAAUUCUUUGUGCAGGUGAGAGUCAGGGUCUAGGUCACAUAUGCCAAAUUUGGCCCGCCGGAACGUCCUGUGCGGCCUGCCGCCGGAGUGUGGACGGCCCGUGACUUUGCUAUUGUGAGGGAUGAGGGACAAGAGGCUGGCCACCGAGGCCACCGUACUGUCCGCUGGUCAGCGCCACCCCUCCCUGUGAUUUAUAUGGUCUGGCCCGCGUUCCAUCGGAGUGGGCAGUAUCGGGCCCUUCAUGACCUGUUAGAUGUCAGAGAUCACACACACACACACACACACACACACACCUAUUCUUCAGUCACUGUCUUUAUUCCACGAUGCUCUUCCUCAGAUAUUUUGAUUUUAACACACUUAUAAAGCUGUAUCCCAUCCAGCCUCUCUCUUCCCCGUAAGUAAACCUGAAUGGGCUUCCUGUGUCUAGUCCUCUUGGACAGCUAGACAUCAGAACCGGCGGGGGAGGCACCUCUGUCACUUUAAGAAAUGCCUCUGGUGAAGAGAAACUGAUUAGUAGUGCUGGCAGCCAACCACGUGGAGCGCUGUGUGGAGACCGAAGCCAAUGAGAAGCCCUGCUGGGUGGAGGUUACAAAAGCAGUCUGAACCCAAUGACUCAGCAAAGUUGGGUGCGUGUGAGAUGACACUUUACAGCAUUUUAAAGGGCCAGCGUGUUGGCUGCAGCCCUCCGAAAGAAGCUGAAAAAUGCACUUUCAAAAUCCAGCCAAGUUCUCUCUUCCUCUUUCUUGUGCAGCUCCUAAAAGUAUUUGGAGCUGGAUGGUUUGCAUAGUUGUCGGUAAAUGCCGAGCAGACUAGAAGACUAGAAGGAUGCACCCGGCUGGUUUCCCUCAAGGGCACCGUCAAACCUGGUGUGGGUGACGGGAAUACGUAUGUAUUUGUUGUCAAACGAUCCACCUUGUGCAACCUCUGUGGGCUAAACAUCUAUAAUGUUUUAUUAAGUGUUGGUUGAGUCGAUGUUCUUCGUUUUACAAAUUAAGAAUCUAGUCCAUUCGCCCAUUUUUGAUCUGUUUCAACCAGUGUGACUGGCAGACUCAUCCUCACACUGGCACACAGAUUUGCAGUUAAUAAUGAGCUGGUCCACUGGACUUUGUUAUAGAUUAGAUGACCCACAUUAUGGUCUGGCUAGGUGCCAUUCCUUCUUCCCCUCUCCACUGUAGCACUGAGCAGCAUUGUGAAGGAGCCUGGUCUGUGAGCAGCAGUGGAAACUUCCAUUAGGCCACAGGAGAAGUAUUCUCCUGAGUAUUGUUCUGGUCAGGCCUGCAACAGUCAGCAUAGCGCAGCACACUUCUGUGACAAGACGAGGCUAAAUAUAUAUACUGUGGCUAGCAGUAAUUCAGCAACGGCAGCCAUCUCCAGCAUCCCAGCUACCACUGCAAGAGGAGAAGGGGCCUCUUAAAGGCGUAGUUCAUCAUUUCAUGUCCUUAACAGAACAGAAAUAGGUUUGUUCUCUCUGUUGUCCGGGGGUUUGGAAGAAAAUAUUAUUGCUAAUACUAUCUGCCUGUUCAGCCGCAGCCAUAAAAAAAGGUUCUUAGCGGUUUCCUGUCUGAAUGGCUUCUGGCUGUAGCUUGUAUUGAACAUACAUAAGCAUUAUGAGGGUGGUAUCAAUCAAUCAGAUCAGCAAGAAAUAUGCAUGUACAAAAAAAUAGUCCAUUACUUCCUUUAGUUGCAAGGGUCACUUGCCGUAAAAAUAAACCUUGAAUUCUAAAGACUUCUUAGAGAACUUUGUCAACCUGACGUCUGCCCGUUACACUGUACCGGUGUCCUAAUAAAGGACACAAAACAUAAUUAUAUCAUGUAAAUGAACAGCAGUGUCACAGACCCAAUAGUUUUUCUAUUCAUGCUGAAAAUUCAAAUUGACAAAAAUCCAAGCAAUGCAAAAUCAACCAAGUCAUUGUUUUCGGAACAUACUUGACAAGGGUUCAGUACAUUCUGUUCAUAAGUGUGUCAGCUAUUCAAAUUUUUUUUAAAUUGAGAAUUUAGGGCAUUGGUGGGCUUAAGAAUUUGCUCUUGUAGAGAAAUGUCAGUGUGCAUAACAUUUUAACAACCGCAAAUAAAGCAUCAAAUAUCUUCCCCAGUAGAUUAGACAUUGCUCCAAAAGGGCUCUCCCUUCUGUGCUCUUGUACUUUUCCACAGUCAGUGAUCUGUAACCUCGGCCCUCGUUGGCCGUCACCUCUCCAAGUGGAGUUUGAUUGUUCCAGGAAAUGGACCUGGUUGAACCCUGCGCCGUUUAAGAAGUCACUUACUUCCUUCGUGGCUCGAUCCAGAAAAAGGCUGCUUGCUCAUUGAUCCAUGAUCCAUCUGUGAUCCUUCAUAACCUUGUGAUGUCAACCACACUUGUUCAUGUAACUCUGACCUGGAGUAACCCCAAGGAGAAAAGGAUAUUUGUAUGCAUAGUCAUAGCCGAGAUCAACGUCUGAAGUGCUGUUGCUGCAGAUUUCUUUUAUUAAUGAAUUACGCAUUUCCUUAUUCUAACAGCUCCUUAUUUCGCACUGCAGAUUAGGAAUUCUUAACCUUUUUUUGUGUGAGGAGGCAAUGCCAGAAUUCCUGCAAAACAGCAUUUCCACAAGGUUUAUCUUGGUUGCCACAUGCAGGGCCAAGGCCUACUUACUGAUAUGAUUAGCCUGGCUGGUGGAAAAGGAACACAUUAUCCUUAGACACCCUGAUCCAACCUCCACUCUUUCCAAACACCCUCAAUGUGACUGCUGAAGCUAAUAUUUGGAGACACUCUGGCAGAACUGUGGCCGUUGGAAGGGAUGACAUCACUGCAACAGGGGGACUUGGAGUGGAUACGUCGUAGUGACAAGUGGUAGCUAUUAGAGGCGACAGGCCGCUCUCGGGCUCUCAUUUUCUCAUGCGUCAAAGUGCCAGGGCUUGUUUUGUCACACCAGCAGCAUAAAUAAUAAUAUCUCCUCAAACCUUUCGUCACACCAAGAAAUCUCACUCUCAUUGGGUCAGUUUGUAGGGAUCAAAAAGUACCUCCGGCGAUACGCUGACAUAUCUGCUUUCCAAGCCGGGGACACCAUGUGACUGUAUUGCAGCAGACACAUCAGCAAGAUCCUUCAGCCCCCAACUGGCACUCGGUUUUCCAACGUGCACUCUCACGGAUCAAUAACCUGUUACAUAACUUUCUGGUUUGGACCGGAGGGCAGAUUCCAGCUGACUGGAACAUGUGACAGGACUUUGACUAUGUGUUGACCCACAUUUCCCCUUCCUUUCGAGAUCCCUCCCUCCAUCUCCUCCUCCCACCAUGUCCCUCCUUCAGCCCAGGCCCCUUUCUAACCCUUCACACCCGUCGGGAGAGCGGUCAUGGAGGCAGCCGGAUCCCAGGCUUGGUCAGGCCUUUCUGCAACAGGCCCGGUCAUGUGACACAAGCGAAGCAAAAGCUGCCGGCUGAGCAGCAGCAGCUUUUGCUUUUGACAAAUGACAUAAUGAGGGUGGUUGUGGAGAAUGUCUGACUGUAUAUUCCAGACAGAUAAAGUGUUAUCGCUUAAAGUCUUGGCAGGAAUCUUUGUGUGCGCUUUUUAAAAACGUUUUGCUAAGUAUUACAGUAAUGAGAUUGUUUUUUUUGGUGAACUUUGGCCACAGGUGUGGGGAGGAGGUCGUGCUGCAUUCAAAAGAUGUCAGCUAAAUAUGAAGAGCGGAAAAAACAGUUGUUCCGACUUGUGUGCGAUUAUGUGGGAGCUUCUCCACCUGCCCGCCUUGUCACACCACUGUUGACUGGCUUAAAAAGGGACUUGGUACAUUGGAGAUUGUAUAUCACAAUGGUGGCACAAAAUGUUUGGAGGACCUACCUGGUCUUGAUUGUUUAAAAAUAUACGCAACUUUGCAAUUUUCUGUUGUGUAUGUGCUGUUCAACAGCACAUACAGCAUUAAAUUAAGAACUAAUGACCUAUAGGAAGGUCUCAAGGCCUUUUUGUUUUAUUCCAUUCCUGGUUUAAUGAGGCCUUUUCUCAAACAUUGGAAAGUGAUCUUAACCUUGAAUUGGACAAUGAUUUGUUGAAUACAAAAUGUAACCGUAUUAAUAUUGUCUCCAUAUCAAGGAAUGCAAGGUAACUCCUUAUUCCAGAAUGCAGCGUGUUCACGACUGCAACGCAGUUAAACCACAAUGUCUUGUUUUCUCUUUCAGGUUUCAGUACCGCAUAAAGAAAAUAAAUAACCAAGAAGCAAAUUGCUUUUCAUUUCUUUUAGUAGUAAUUGUCGUUGACCAGUAACGUCUUUUUCCCACGAGGGAUUCAUCACAUUUUUCAAGUUACCAUCGAUGAACAUACUGCGACAAGGGGUGUGAUUGCUGUCGGUGCAUGAGAGACAAAAGUGUUUUCAUGCACAACAUAAGCUUGUUGUGUUUUCAGGAGGGAAGGGUGAUCACAUGGACACACAGGAGGUGCAGCAGGCAACGCACCGCAUUGUCCAUGCAAAGCUACCGCGAGCAAUCAGACGGUAUUAGAGUACAAGACAGAGCGCAAGUGAGGGGAAGGCCGUUUUCCUGCCACAUUAACCUUACUGACUUACUUACUGACAUCCCAGUAAGCUGAUUACGUCCCCACAGGUGUCCUAUUUAAUUAAGUGUUUGUUUAGCUUAAAUGUCCUGCCCACAAGUGGCUCUGAAUCUUUCAGUCAGUGUUUCUGACUGAUCAGUUUACCCUCAGCAGCAGCUGAGUGUCGAGUGGUCUCUGCGCUGAGAAAUGUCCUCCCCUCAGCCUCGUUCUGUCCCGACCGCAGAGGGAGACUAAACAAACCAGUCGAGGCGUUUCACGGAAAUAAUUAGGCCUAGUGCUGUACCACGAAUGGAAGAACUAAUCCUUUCUACUGAUCAAUCUAAUGUAUAGGGCCUCCAUGAAAUAUCCAUAUGUGCGCACACAGUUAUCUUAAUUAAAAUACUUUCAAUUCUUAUUGUCUCACAGUGUUUAUGAUGUCAACUCAUUGUUCUGAGACAAUAAUGAAGCAGGUUUUCACUUCCACACAAUUCCUGUGUGUUAUUCCGAGACACGGCUGUACUUGGACACUCAAACCUGUUCUCUGUAACUCUACAUAACACCUAUUGUAAUUCUAGCUCUGUUCUUUAUACCGUGUUUAUUUACUUCAUCUCUAAGUCGUCUGCUUUGUACAGAAUGUGGGUAAUUAGACCGUGAGUUGCACUGGGCCUGCAGUUAGCUCUGUAGGAAGAAGCAGUGACUCAUCAGAAGCUCGUUUCCUCCUUCUAUGAAUAGAAUUUCUUCACUAGUUUGAACAACCGUUAAGAAUCAGUGUACAAAGCCAUCUCAUUUAUUCUUGUUUUGUUUUUUGACUUGUUGACUUGGUUUGUACUUCUCAGAUGCAAUAUCUAAAUUGAAUCUAAUGUUUUUACCAUCCAAGUUAAAGUGUAAAUGUAAAGUUUGAAAAGGUUAUUCAGGCUUUUUUUUUAAGUCUAAUGCAGGAAAUUGAGCUCUUAGUUCUUUGUUCUUUUAUUCAAAAUAAACUUUUGAAAGCUUGAAGUUAAAAUGUCUCUCUUGGUCUACCAGCUCAAGUGGUCCUGUUUGGUUUCCGUAGACCUAAAGAUGAAUACAUUUUAAUGCAAAUGGGGCACAGGGACGUCUUGAGGCUACUUUCUUAGACUGAGGGCUGUGGCGUGAUAGAAAUGAUGGGACAUGGAGGGAGAAGAGGAAUGAGAGGAAUGAAAGACCGGGGGCAGAAGAGAAGGGCAGGGUGCCACCACAAGUGAGUGGUGGUGGUGAUGAUGUGUGUGUGUGUGCGUGUGUGUGUGUAACCUCAGUUAAGGAAGGCUGGUAUUUUUCCAGAGAGGCUUGCUAUGCGCGCGCACACACACACACACACACACACACACGUGUACACUCCAACGCACAUACACACGUGCACACACUGCCCACCUUUAUACUUAUUCUCUUUCCGUCAAUCCAUUUAUGUUCUACUGUCUUCCUUGACUGUGGUUUUCUUCAUUCUUUUUUUACAUCUAACUCCUUCCCCAAGCAUCCAUUGAUAUUUCCCCUCUCAGCGUUGCCUCCACCCUCUUUCCACUUUAAUUUCCUGUUCUCUAUUACUACAUUUCCCUCUCCAUUUCUCCCUCACUCCCCAGCCCUGUCUCUCCUUCCCAUCUUCUCUUCUACCCCAAAGACAUCAAGCCCAGACAGGCACCAAGGGCAACGUCUUCUGGCGGCGCCUUCUUAUUGCGCAAACUGACAUGAUGAAGCUAGGCUGCAAGAAAUGUCCUUGUUUCCCCCUUCCCCCCCCUGGGGUCACAGUACUGUAUAUGAGCAUCCUGAGAUAGAUGCAGUAUGUGUGCGCCAUCAAGUAUGUACAUGCUUGCAUGUGGAAGAGGCCGCAUCCUGGAGUCCAAAAACAGCUGCUCAGCGGCUGCUUGCUUAUGUAAGCCGGUACCAUAAAACACAGCGAAACAAGAAUAUACUGGCGGCCCGGGACGACGGCCCUGGCCUUAGCGCCGCACUGUCAGACCCGUGUUUUGACACUAUAUGGGGGAGACGGAAAAUGCAGAAGGACUGAGUGUUCUGGGAAUGUGAAUACUGUAUAGUUCGUACUACACAGCACUGUUGUCCUAAAGAUGAGGGGAAACAUGAGCCCUGCUGCGCCCCGGUAGCCCACCUGCUGCACAAGGCUCCAUGGGUUGUAAGCGGCAGGUUUCUACCCUGCGCUCUGAGGGAUGCUUCGGUUUUACUUGCCGUGCGAUUUGGAUUGUGACCAAACAGAUCAGGCUAUGGUGUCAUUUUCUAUUAGAUCUUCAAGUGUUAGCCGACUCCGAUUUAGCCUGAAACAGAGGCGGUUACCCGCCAGGCAACCUCUUUGUGUAGACUAAAGGACGUGCAUGCACAUGCAACAUGUGCUGACUGGGAUGCACACGCUCGCAUAGUGAGCAGGGAAUGGCCACGCCGCGUGAAACCCACGUAAUGUGACAGUUAAGGAAUUUAAAAAAUUGCAAUUUGCUUUAGGCUAGCCACAAAUAUUUGCAGCCUGAGUCCAAGAUACUUGUACGUCACUAGCUGUGGAAAUUGUGGAGUGACUAUGAGAUUUAAAAACUUGAAAAGCAAUUAGAUACAUUGAAUGAUGACGAUAUAAUCAUAAAUCAAUUGUU